RNAcentral lists this long non-coding RNA (3377 nucleotides) under Sus scrofa (pig). RNAcentral's name for it is "lncRNA (ENSSSCG00055029471.1)". Lineage: Eukaryota; Metazoa; Chordata; Mammalia; Artiodactyla; Suidae. The record is from RNAcentral.
AGAGGUGGCGGAGCUGGGACUCAGACCUGACGGUCCUGUGGCUGUGAACCCCCGCCUCCCCAGUCCUCUGACGGUGUCCCCUCUAAGGAUACCUGAUACCUGGAGGGGCCAGCUGCCCCUCCUCUGUGAAAUGCACUGUGUUGCGGGGAGCGGCGAGGGGGACACAGGCCUCCGGGUGGAGCCUCCUGUGUCCUCAAAUGGGCAGGUCUUGUGCCCAUCACUCUGGCACAUCCAUCCACACCCCUGGAAAUGGUCGCCAAGCCCUCCCGCCUGAACUCCCACGCUAGAUGCCAAGCCUGAACGCAUCGCUUUCCAGGACGCCUUUGAAGCUGUGAGCCCACCUGGGGGUCCCCGCCAGGCAGGAAAUAUUGAGAUGGAAGAGGAGGAUGCUGGGGGUGCCCAGGGCGGCAGGACGCCACAGACCGGAGGGAAGCAGACCUAGCCAGGCCUUCCCGACCCUCGGGCACUGUGCCCCACCCCCACUGCCGGCAGUAGGGGGCCUCGCGGCCCCUCCGCAAGGUAAUGGGGUCCAGCGCAUAAGAGGCAGCCGGAGGCUGGCAUGCUGGAGGGCGCACUGCGGCCAUCGGCCCGCUUCUGGCUGGCCCGCCGCCGGGAAGCCUCCUCUGCAUCUUCCGCAGUGCCGGCCCUGCUUUGUGACUCUGGCCCCGCUGUGACAGGCAGAGAUGACGGCCUGUCACCUCCCGCCAUGCUCAGGACAGAGGACGUGCCCACAGCAGAGCUGAGUGACGGGACCACGUCAGUUCUUUCUGGGAGUUCGUUUCCACCACGCGCGUCCAGAACCCCACCUGAGCCGUCAUCCCCUCCCCGGCGGGGUGCCCGGCCCAUCGACCCCUCCCCUGUCAGGGUGCCCAGCCCGUCCCUUCUCACCGAGGCCCUGAACCAGUUCUGGCGGGGUUGCUCCUGGCCAGAACCCGCAGGGCCUGUGACCACUGGGGCCCCAUCGAACCUCUUGGCCCAACAAGGCGCCAAGACCCGCCCAGGGCGGCCUUCAGGCCUAGCCCUGGGUCUCCAGCCGGCUGGGCCCUCACGGGCCUGACGCACGCCUCCUCCUCUGGCCCCUGCAUCUCCGCUGCUUCCAGUGAUCAGAGCCUUCCCAAGCCAGUCUCUCCUCCCAGAAGCCUCCCAGGCCCUCCCCAGGCCUCCCUGGGGACCUGUGACACCUGCCCCGCCCCCUUGCCCCAGCCUCCCAGCAGACCUAGUCCCUCCCAGACCCUGGGGCGGCAGCAGCCCCACCCCUGCUGGAGCCAGGGGCGCAUGUGGGCCCUGCCCAUCCGUCUGUCUGGGGAAGGGGGGGCCUGUGGGGAGGGGCCUGGCAAGAGCAGAGCUCCCAGCGGGCACGCCUGUCCUGGGCCUGAAGGGCUGCUGACAGGAGGCAUCUGGUUUCCAGGGACAGGCGGUCGAGGGCGAUGGCACCUGUCAGCAUUUCUGCCCUUCAGCGUGAGCCGAGGCAGGGCCCGCAUGUCUGGGGGAGCUGGCCAGACUCCUCCCCGCUGGGCUGCAGGAGUCUGCCAGCUGAGACCUGCUGCCCAGGCUGGGGGCUUCCCGGGCAUGCGUCCCCUGUCUCGCCCAACCAGACUGGCCUUGGAGCUGGGAGGCCCCUUGUCCCCAGGCCAGGGUGGGGUUCCACCAACAGAGCAUGGUCUGCACACUCAGCACCCCAAGAACACAGGUGCCAACCUGUGCCCUGCCCUGGCUGUGCAGCCUUGGCCAGGUGGCCAGCCCUCCUGGUCCUGCUUCCACGUCUGGAAAACGGGAGCAGUGGUGUGAGGUGGGGCCCUCAGCACAGAGCUUCCCCAGAAGCAGGCGCCCUCCCCCCAUUAGGGUCUGCUGUCCCCUCCCUCCUCCUGCCCUCCCCCGCCCCUCCUGGAUGGCUUUCCUCCGGGGCACCACAUCUGAGCCCCUUGCAGGUGCCCCAGCAUCGACUGCUGCCCAGGGACCAGCCUGAGGGUCCGGCCAGCAGGGAGGCCGGGCGGCAUCGGGAAGCCCACGGCCUGAAGGCCCACGGAGGGACCUCAGAGGCAGCCCGGAUCCUCCAGCUGGACACCUGGCGACCAGAGACCAGUGUCCUCCUGAACCUGCUUCUCAGAGACAACCUGCCCCCUCCGUGUCCUGCCUCGGAGAGGAUUCAGAUGGAUGUGAGUUUGGGGGCGUGGGGGUCCUGCUCCCCUUCCCCGCUUCUCACCGGGAAAGAGAACGAGGUCUCCCGCCCCUCCUGCUGCGAGGCCUUCCCCACAGGAGAACUUCUUACAGACUCUUGUUGUCCCUGGAAGGUAUCUCACUGAGACCCCACAUUCAAAACCCUGCCCUUCUAAAGCUCCUUGAGGAGUUCUGGCCCCGGGGUGACCCCAGUGGGGUCUGCGGUUUCUGUGUCCGGGUGGCAGGGGUGCCUUUCUUAUCUUUCCUGACCUGGUGAGCUGGUGAGGCUCCUGGGCAAGCCCCUCCCCUCCCUCCCCCCACCGGCAGCGCCUUUACCAGAUCCACUUUGCCGACGCCUCGGUCCUCGGGGAAAAUACAAGAAGUGCCCCCGUGGCUGCCUGUCUGCCGACAAAGCCUCUCUCCAGCCUUCUCCGGACACUGACCUGCACCGAACGUUGUGCAGCCAGUGCGGUCCGGAGGCAGCCGGCCGGGUCCGAACGCUGCAGCCCGGGGCCACGGUGGAGGCCAGGCCUCUCCCCGAGCCGCCAGGACCUGUCGGUCUUUGCUGUCGGGUGAAGAAGCGCCACAGCCACCCUGCAUGCGGGUCCUUGUAGGCUUCUCCACGUGGCCUCACAGGCGGGACCAAGCUGCUAAGGCCACAUGGGUCCCUACCUUGUCGGAUGGUGCUGGCCCCUCCUUGGGAAGGGCCGGCCUGCCUCCACCUGCCACCAGUGCCCCCGCCUCAGCCGUCGGUCCCUCCUGGGAUGCCGGCCCGUCGGUGACGCGAGCCGUGGAACCUCCGUGCUGUUUGGCGUCACUUUUUUUUGGACAAGAGCAGAUGGGGCAUCUUUUCUCCUCUUGAAGAGGCGUUCGCCUUGUUUCCUCUUACAAGCCCUGGUCGCCGUCUUCCCGCGCUUUCCCCUGGAUGGCUGGACCUGGCUCCCGGGAACGUCUGGCUCCUGGGGACUUUUUAGCCGGCACCUGUGCUGCCAGCUCACCAACCUGGGGGUCUCCCCCUCCCCGCCUCCAGCCCUGACUUUCUGUCUCGAGAUUCGUCUCUUUCGAACACGGCAUACCCUGAGGUCGUGCCUAAGUGGUUUGUGUGACUGUCCCUGCAGUGUUUUCGAGGCUCAUCCAUUCAGACCAGCCCGUCGCCCCUUCUUACUGCCAGAUAAUAGCCCAUCCAGUGAUGGAAGUUGAGCUGCAAAGAAAAAAUAUUU